RNAcentral lists this ribosomal RNA (406 nucleotides) under uncultured bacterium. Its description in RNAcentral is "partial 16S ribosomal RNA". It matches the Rfam family "Bacterial small subunit ribosomal RNA", at positions 28 to 526 of the family's 1533-position model. The record is from RNAcentral.
GAUGAACGCUAGCUACAGGCUUAACACAUGCAAGUCGAGGGACCGGCGCACGGGUGAGUAACACGUAUCCAACCUGCCCCUUACUCGGGGAUAGCCUUUCGAAAGAAAGAUUAAUACCCGAUAUAAAGGAUGGGGAUGCGUUCCUGUAGGUUGUUGUUGAGGUAACGGCUAACCAAGCCGUCGAUGGAUAGGGGUUCUGAGAGGAAGGUCCCCCACAGUGGAAAUGAGACACGGUACAAACUCUUACGGGAGGCAGCAGUGAGGAAGAUUGGUCAAUGUGCGCUAGCCUGAACCAGCCAAGUAGCGUGAAGGAUGAAGGCUUAUGGGUCGUAAACUUCUUGUAUAUAAGAAUAUGUAUUAAAUGAAUAAGGAUCGGCUAACUCCGUGCCAGCCGCCGCGGUAAUUC